This 503-nucleotide long non-coding RNA is filed under the name Mus pahari (shrew mouse). Its description in RNAcentral is "lncRNA (MGP_PahariEiJ_G0002376.1)". Lineage: Eukaryota; Metazoa; Chordata; Mammalia; Rodentia; Muridae. The record is from RNAcentral.
ACAUCACUCUAAAGGAAAUGAGGGACACAAGAGAAGCCCAGCACGUGUGCUGCAAGGACAGUGGGCACAGGAAAUGUGUGCAGACAGCCACAGGUCUCGGGCUUACAACAAAAGAAAGCAGAAGUGUUUCUUUGUUUCUGCUAUACAGCUUCAUCACUCCAGUGCUAAAGAUGCUUACAGACAGGGCAGGACAGGGUGACCAGGCCAAGGACUUACUUCAAACCUCUCCUGCUCCAUCCUGUGGUGAUCCUCAAGCUGCUGCUCCAGGAUUAAUCCAUCCCUCUGGGCUUGAGAGACAGAAUCAGCAACACCUGUCUGCAUCCGAACCCUGUGGGUGGAUUUCCCACCCAAGAAGUUUCAGAUUUCCACCAUAGACGCUUUCUCCUGAAUAGCGAUGUUGGUGAUGACGUGAGCCUACCCAGACCUCAUCUUGUGACAAAAGCCCAGCAUAACACCCUUGAUCGUGUUCUGAGCAUGACUGCACAUGCUUCUGACAGCGGCCA